CGUCUAUAUACGUAUAGCAUAUCAAUAAGCGGAGGAAAAGAAACUAACUAGGAUUCCCUUCAGUAACGGCGAGUGAAGCGGGAAGAGCUCAAAUUUGAAAUCUUCAAGGUUCUACCUUGACGAAUUGUAGUUUAAAGAAGUGUUUUCUGUUGGAGUUUUGGUAAAAGUUCUUUGGAAUAGGACAUCAUAGAGGGUGAGAAUCCCGUAUUUGACCAUUAUUUCCAACUUUGUGAUACACUUUCAAAGAGUCGGAUUGUUUGGGAAUGCAGUCCAAAAUGGGUGGUAAAUUUCAUCUAAAGCUAAAUACUGGCGAGAGACCGAUAGCGAACAAGUACCGUGAGGGAAAGAUGAAAAGAACUUUGAAAAGAGAGUUAAACAGUACGUGAAAUUGUCAAAAGGGAAGCGUUUGACACCAGUGUUGUUUUCUCGAAAAUCAAUUAAAAAAGAUUGGAUUUUGUGUUGUAUUGACUUUAUCAGCUUUCUGCACUCUUUUCUUGUCUUUUUUAAUGCACUUUUCGUUUAACAAGUCAACAUCAAUUUCUUUUGCUUGUAAAAGAGGUCAUUGGAAGGUGGCUUUCUUUUCGGAGAAAGUGUUUAUAGCCUUUUGGACUUCUGCAAUCGGAGAGAUUGAGGUCUGCAGCGUAGAUCCUUCGGGGUUAGAUAGCAUUUGUGCUAAGUUAUAGCCUUUCAUAGACAACUUGUUGACUAUGAUCAGUCAUGUAGCUUACUCGCUUAUGCUAUUUUACCUACGCUUAGGAUGUUGACGAUCAGCUGAGCGCG
This 780-nucleotide ribosomal RNA is filed under the name uncultured Neocallimastigales. Its description in RNAcentral is "partial large subunit ribosomal RNA". It matches the Rfam family "Eukaryotic large subunit ribosomal RNA", at positions 26 to 627 of the family's 3401-position model. The record is from RNAcentral. Lineage: Eukaryota; Fungi; Neocallimastigomycota; Neocallimastigomycetes; Neocallimastigales.